GACGAACGCUGGCGGCGUGGAUUAGGCAUGCAAGUCGAACGGUAUGGUACCUUCGGGUACCAGAGAGUGGCGAACGGGUGAGUAACACGUAGGUAAUCUACCCUCAAAUGGGGGACAACCCAGGGAAACUUGGGCUAAUACCGCAUGAGAGUGCCCUUCGGGGUAUUUAAAAGGUGGCAGUAAUGCUGCCGUUUGGGGAUGAGCCUGCGCCCUAUUAGUUAGUUGGUGAGGUAACGGCUUACCAAGGCGAUGAUAGGUAGGCGGCCUUAACGGGUGGUCGCCCACACUGGGAUUGAGAUACGGCCCAGACUCCUACGGGAGGCAG
Molecule: ribosomal RNA, 325 nt
Filed under: uncultured Spirochaetota bacterium
Lineage: Bacteria; Pseudomonadati; Spirochaetota
Description: bacterial SSU rRNA
Rfam family: Bacterial small subunit ribosomal RNA
Source: RNAcentral